This is a long non-coding RNA of Macrobrachium nipponense, 4086 nucleotides long. RefSeq lists it as uncharacterized. Lineage: Eukaryota; Metazoa; Arthropoda; Malacostraca; Decapoda; Palaemonidae. The transcript has 2 exons. The record is from RefSeq and is a predicted model, not a curated record.
GUGACUUCGUGUUUCAUGCGACUCAUGUGAUUUCAUGUUUCAUGUGACUUAUGUGAUUCUUGUUAUUCAGUGAUCUAAGUCACAUAGUUCAUGUGUAUCAUGUGAUUUAUGUGAUUCAUGUGAUUUAUGAGAAGUGUCUGUUGCAGUAAAUAAGCUUAAGUAUUAAAUUUUUCACACCAGAUCCAGACGGGCACAAUAGUAAGUUGCACUGUUACGAAUAGUAAGUGAUUCUCUCCACGCAUAUCCGGUAUCGAUGAUUUGGAGGUAUAGUUGGUAGCUUAAUGUUAAUCGACUGGGACCUGUGUUAAUUCACUAUCGAUAGUGCCCACCCCUUUUCAUGAACCACCCUUUUAAGAUUCUUCCCAAGCCAUUAGACUUCUUCCGACAAACACUUGCGUUAAUCCGGAUACCGUGUCGAUGAGCUAACCUGAAUCUUCUUUAAUCAUAACCAUUGAACUAGUUCAUUCCUUAGUUAAGACCAUUCCGUUGGUCAUUUCAUUACUUGAUUUUGGUUCGUUUUGCGCGCAUUAACAUGUUCGGACCGAUAUCGCAAUCUUAUUCCUCUUAAUUGCGGGAUUCUCUUUAUCACUUGUCAAUAUUGAUAAGUCGUUAAAUUUUUAUUUUCCCUUUUGAAUUACCAGUAAUGCUCUCAUCUGGUUUAAAUUAUAAUUCAGUCCUUCGAAAUUGAACUUGGUUAUUAUCAGCAGUUGCUUAAGACUUAUUAAAUAGCAAUUAUUUUUGUUAAGGUAAUUAGCUUAUUUUUAAAUAAGUUUUACGAUUUUGUGCCAUCCUAACUUAAUUCUUUGCUAAACAUGUUCAAUUUAGAGCAAUUCUUGCUUAACCCUAAAGAUGAACUACCAAGAUUACAUCUUGCAAAGAAAGCGGAACUCUUGACUAUCACCCAGAAAUGGCAAAUAUACCUUCAGAGUCCUCCUAUGUCAAAGCUAGAUUGAUAAGCGACAUCCUCCAAUUUCUAAUUGCAAAGAAUGUAGUUAAAGAGAGCGACGAAGAAGUAGAAGAAGUACGUUACCUGACCGGUGCGGUUGCUAAAAGUAAAGAAGAUCCAGAAGUAACCAAGAUGAAACUACAAUUGGAAUUGGAAAAAAUGAAGAUACUCAAUGCACGAGAAGAAGAAGAAAGGGAAAUAAGAAAAGGUGAAAGAAGACGAGAAGCUGCAUUACAGGAAGUAUAACUCCAAAAGAAAUUAGCGGAAAUAGAAUUGUCGAAAACAAGAGAAACUGCUAACAUACAACUUAAAACCAAGGAAGAAGAACGCAAUCUUCCUGAAAAGUUCGACUUCAACAAAGCAAACAAGCUCAUUCCUACAUUUGAUGAAAAAGAACCCGAAGUAUUCUUCGACAUAUUCGAGGAUACAGCUACCUCGCUCGAGUGGCCGGCAGAUCACUGGGUAAUGCUCAUUAGAAACGGUUUCAAAGGUAAGGCAGCCUAUGUUUCCUCGCAAAUGAUUUCUGUUAAGGAUUAUCAGAUCCUUAAGAAAGCUAUUCUAGACGCUUAUUCAAUCACAAUAGAAGGAUAUCGUCAAAGUUUCCGCAAUUCACAAAAAUCUCCAACCCAGACAUUUGUGGAAUUUUGUGAUACUAAAGUUAGACAAUUUCAAAAGUGGAUUGACAAAGCAGGAAUUAAAGAAUUUGAGUCACUUAAAAGUCUGGUAAUCAUAGAAGAGUUUCUUAGAAAAGUGCCAUUUAACAUUGCUAACUAUAUUUUAGAUAAGGAGGAAACUGAUCUCAUGAAAGCAGCUAGUCUGGCAGAUGACUAUUUUCUGCGCCAUAAAUCAUAUAAACCUGCCUAUAAUAAAACUACCUUUUUUUUCAGACAGAUUUUGUACUUGCUGUAAGCAGGUAGGACAUCCCAUUGAAAAGUGCCCAGAUCCUCAGUGUAGAAAGUCUGAAGUCAAAAGAACAUAAGCCUGGUAAAAAACAGGAUUCCAAGAAAACGAUGCAUGUGACCGUCCCUACUCCGGAUUUAGAUUCCUUCAAACCUUACACAUGCCAAGGUUCAGUAAAUGGGAAACCUGUAGUUUGUCUUCGUGAUACAGGAUCGUCUCAAACUAUUAUCAACCUACCACCACAGGAGCUGACAAUGAAGCAAGAAUAUGUUGCUGUAACGGACUUGACAUCGACCAAGAGUCUACCCUUGGCUGAGGUAACACUUCAGUGCCCCUUCUACACAGGUAAAGCUUCUGUUGCUGUGUCUAAUAAACCCUUGCCACAUCCAUCAAUACAGGUACUGAUAGGUAAUGACCUUGCAGGGGCCAAUGCUUUGAAUUUAGUAGUAACAGAUCCAGAUGUCAUUCUGAAACAAGAACUUAAAGUAAAUGAAAAUAAAAUUGUUCAAUCUGUAUCAAAGGUUCCAAAAAAAAAUAACUCUUGAAACAUCUAAAGUAGAGAAGGCUUUGGAAUUAGUAAAUUUAAGCAAAUAAAGUUUCAGCAGUUACAGAGCAAUGAUCCUAGCCUUACGACAUACUGGAAAAGAGUAGAAAAUCCAUCAGAUAACCCCAACUCCUUACUUUUAUACUGAUCACGGCUUACUCUUCAGGCAUUUUAGAUCUUCCAAAGCACCAGUAACUUCCACGUGGCAUGACUGUCACCAGCUUGUCUUACCAGCAACCCUUGUACCACCACUUCUAGAUUUGGCUCACACCUCUGAAUCCCAUCUAGGAGUUAAUAAAACCUAUCAGAGUUUCACCGGACUUCUUCUGGCCAGGUAUAAAGAAAGAUAUUAAGGAGUACAUAAUGUCCUGUCAUCAAUGCCAGGUCACAGGUAGGCCCAACGAGAGUAUUAUUCGUGCACCUUUGCAGCCCAUCUCGGUACCAAAACAACCUUUUGAGAAAAUAAUUAUUGACUGUGUAGGACCUAUGCCUAAAACUCGGAAAGGUAACGAGUACUUGCUAACUAUCUUGUGUCCUACUACUAGAUAUCCCAUUGCAAUGCCUAUUAAGAACAUUAAUGCCAAAACAAUCAUUGGUCAGCUUGUUAAGGUGUUCACAACCUUUGGAUUUCCUAAGAUUCUCCAAUGUGACAGAGGUACUAAUUUUACCAGUAAGUUAUUCAAACAAAGUAUGCAAGAGUUUAAUAUUCACAAUGUCUAUGCUUCGGCAUAUCAUCCACAGACAAAUGGAGCUCUUGAAAGGGUACACCAGACCAUAAAAAAUCUUCUACGUAAAUACAUGGAGGAGACUGCCCAAUCGUGGGAUGAAAAUUUAGACCUCCUCAUGUAUAUGCUACGCAGUGUACCUAAUGAUUCGACUGGUGUAUCACCCUUCGAACUUGUUUGGCAGGAAACCACGAACAACUUUAAGUAUGGUGAAAGAAAAUUAAUUUCAUUCAUAAAAAGGAGGAGGACACUACCACCCUGUUAGCUUAUAUGAAAGAACUGAAAGAAAAGUUCCUUUCCAUGUGUCACAUUUAAUAUUAUAAUUACUGUAUAAUGUUCCAAUUAUACCGCUGAAUACAUUUCAAGUUUGUAACUAGCGUGUCGGUGGUUACUGGGAUCGUUAAGUGUUUAUUAGGCAGCCAGGUUCUUGAGACGUCUUCGACACUGGAAUUGAGUGCUCGGGGUCUUUCUCUGUCCAACGCUAUGUGAUUUUGGGUGCUCCCAUGCUUCGUGAACUUGGGAAAACUCCGUUACCUGUGUGGUUGUUACCUGUGUGGUACUGUUGCUGUUACCUGUGUGGUAUUGUUACCUGUGUGGUACUGUUGCUGUUACCUGUGUGGUAUUUUCUUAAUAUAUCUCUCAACGUACGAGGACCCAACACUACGAAUGGACUGAUUAUGCGAGUGCUGUAUUUUGUUCCAGUGACCAUUUUGGGUGCAGUACACACACCACAGUUCGAGCUUCUGAGUGCAAGUUGUCUACGAUUCCUGUGGGUCCGUGGCACCACUUAUGCAACCUGCAGUGGAUCACAGCUCACAGCUCUAGUGGAUGGGCCAAGACGGGCUCGUCAUUCAGCACCUAUAUGCCAGUGUUGCUUAGAUGUAGCAUGAAAGCUGUUUAUGUCAUUUGCAUACCCUCUGUGUUAAAUUGAUCCUAAUUACCAUAGUGUUAAAUAAAUUGUUAUGAUUUUA